Molecule: RNA transcript, 4540 nt
Organism: Haplochromis burtoni (Burton's mouthbrooder)
Lineage: Eukaryota; Metazoa; Chordata; Actinopteri; Cichliformes; Cichlidae
Exons: 6
Source: RefSeq, a predicted model, not a curated record
UUCCAAGUGGGGAUGGGCUUACAAUGGGCAUCCAAUCUGGGACCCACCUGGGUUAGCCAAGUAGGACCCACCUGAGCCAGCCCAGGUGGGCUAUGUUCUAUGGGCACCAUAUGGGUAACAUAUGGGAAGUUGCAUGAACAGGCAACUGAGUUUAAUGACCUUAGUUAAGUAUAAUUAUUAGUCAUGUGUAAGUAUAAACAUGAAUUAAGAUGAAAUAACUGAUAAUAAAUUAUGCCACAGGCAGCAUAUGUAUAUUUAAUUAAUAACAAAAUAUACAUAUAAAAUAUAUUAAUAUAAGUGAAACACAAAGAACAGAUAUGACUUAAAAUUGUAAGACGCUUAAUAAAAUAAAAUAAAUGGUUUUACAUUUGAGUGGGAAAAAAAUUUCACUCCAUGUAGGAGGGUUAGGGUUAAACCUUUUCGAAAUCUCGCGUUAUUUCAUGAAAUAUCACGAGGUUUUCUUGAACCCGUCCCCCCCAUUCUGGAACAUUCUUCAUUUCGCGCCCUUGGACAAAGCUGACAGUUAAGCUGACAAUUUUUGGAUUAAGUGCAUCUUUGAGCUACGAAUUUAUCUGCAGUAAGGAAAGCAAUGGAGCAAUCUGAGAGGACAAAGAGAAGAAAAAUAGCUGCGAAAGUUGUUGAACAUUUACGUCUCGUUUCACAGCAGAAUGAGUCAGAUCAUCAUCAGGACUUAAUUUUUUUCUCGGAUUCUUUUGAGAAUAAACCCCUUGUGGAAGAGUACCAUGAUUGCGAUGAACAUGCUGGAGUCAGUUCACAAAAUGAACAAUCUGCAGACAUUUUUUAUGAUGCUUUGGACUUUGACGUGUUUCCUGAAGACUCUGAAAGUGGGGUGUCUGAGUUUAAUGAAUUUGAUCUGGACGAUGACUGUUUCGAUUCUGAUGCUUUUUCAGACACACCAGAUGAUACAAAAGGACUUGCAGAGUGGGCUGCAGAAUACAAUGUGUCACAUAAUGCUUUGUCUGCCCUUCUUAAAAUUCUUAGACAGAAAGGUCUUAAUGUACCACUAGAUGCUCGAACAUUGAUGUCAACUGCCCGCAAAUGUAAUGUGAUAAAUGUGGCUGGGGGAUCAUACUACCAUUUUGGUUUAAAGAAUUCAAUUGUUGCAGCAUUGGAGCUUUUAGAUUUUGAUUUAAAGAAACUAACAAACAAUCUAACACUUAGAAUUAAUGUUGAUGGUCUACCUUUAUUCCGCAGCAACAAUGUUAGUCUGUGGCCUAUUCUGGGUAGAAUCAAGGAGAUCCCAAAUUGUGAUGUUUUUGUGAUCGGGUUAUACUCAGGUACAACCAAACCUUCUAAUGUACAGGAGUACUUGAAUGACUUUGUACAAGAUGUAAGGGCAAUUAUACAAGAUGGAGUUCAGUAUAAUGGUGUCCAUUUCAGUGUUGCUGCUCCAGAUGCAUUCAUUUGUGAUGCACCUGCUCGUGCUUUUCUUAAAUGUGUGAAGGGACACACUGGCUAUUAUGCGUGUGAGCGGUGCACUCAAAAGGGCAUGUAUGUGAAUAGGAGAUUGUGUUUUCCUGAAAUUUCUGCUGAGCAAAGGACUGAUGAGACUUUUCGUGCUAUGGCCUACAAAGAGCAUCAGGUUGGGGUGUCACCUCUGAAUGAGUUGGGUGUGGGACUAGUCUCAGGUUUUGUGCUGGACUAUAUGCACCUUGGGUGUCUGGGGGUAAUGCGAAAACUUAUUUAUCUUUGGUUAAAAGGUCCCCGAAAAUGCAGACAGUCUAUGCAAAUUCUAACCGUGAUUUCAGCAUUCAUGGUUUCUGUCAGGCAACAUUUGCCUAAAAGUUUUGCAAGGAAACCAAGAUCUCUCCUUGAAAUUAGCAUGUGGAAAGCAACUGAAUUGAGACAAUUUUUGCUUUACACAGGCCCAGUUGUUUUAUUUAAUAAUAUACCAAGCCAAAUGUAUAGACACUUUAUACUUUUAUCUGUAUCUAUAAGAAUUCUUCUUAGUCCUGAUUUGUGUAUUGAGAACUGUGAUUAUGCAGAGGAUGUUUUAAAGCAGUUUGUGAAAGAUUUUGGUUCGAUUUAUGGUCUUGAAUUUGUUGGUUAUAAUGUACAUAAUUUAAUACACCUAGCUGAAGAUGCGCGAAAGUUUGGACCUUUGGACAGUAUUUCCUGCUUCCCAUUUGAAACCUUCCUGGGUAAACUGAAAAAGAUUGUGCGGAGGCCUCAUAAACCUGUGGAACAAAUUGUCAAGCGCGUCUAUGAGACGCAAAGUAUUCAGAAGAAAAGAAAAGAGAGGAUGUCUGUUCCCUCUCCUCUUAAACAGCCUCAUAACUCUGGACCAAUAACAAGUGAUCUUGGAACUUUUAAGCAGUACAGAAAAUACACUGAUGGACAGACAUAUGUUUCUUGCUCCAUGGGAGAUAACUGUUUCAAUGUAGGGGGAAAAAUUCUUAUUGUGGCAAACAUUUUACAGGAUUGCCAAGUUGUCAAAGCACUGUGUCAGGUCUUUGAAAACUGUAAUGCCUUUUUCAGCUAUCCAUUGGACUCAACAUGCCUUGGAAUUUACUUUGUUUCAAAUCUGUCUAAACAAAUGAAUCUUGUAUUACUUGAUGAACUAAAACAGAAAAUGGUGCUUUUGCCACUGAAGUCUGGAUAUGUGGCAUUGCCACUGCUGUACUAGUUGGCUUCUUUUUGCUUUCUCACCAGCAUGCUACCAUUUGCAGUUGUUGAUUUUCUGGAUGGUGGAGGUGUAUCCAUAAUUCCUUGCAAGUGGUUUACAGGACCAGCGGAAGAUUCUUGUUUCUGGCCACCAGGGAGAGUCAAUAUCAAUAAGGCUGUAAAGGAUGGAGUUACUCCAGAUGCAAACUGGUCACAUUACAGAGUUCGCAUCUUGGGGAAAGCUGAAAACUAUGAAAAUGCCAGGGUGAAACUGCGGAGGUCUGAAGCAACCUCUGAUCUGCAGACUGAGUCGGAUUCUGGAAGCAGAUUGGGAAAAGGGAAGCGGAAAAGGAGGCCAGUGAUCCAGUCAAGCUCGGAUGAGGAUUGGGACAACGCUGCGGAACAGCCAGAGACCUCAUCAACAUCAGCAAUGGAGAAUAGACAUUCAAGUGAAACUCCCCACCAGAACGUCACUCAUCCAUUUGUUCAGCUACCACCACCCUCAACUCCUUCACCUGUGGUUUCACAACCAGUUCCAAGACAACUUGUACAAGCCACCAAUACCAGCAUGUUUGUACGUGUUCUAACCCUCCUGGAAGACAUUAAGGAGACUCAGAGGAUCCACAGUCGAAUGCUACAGUCUCUCCUCAAACAACGUGAUGGACCAGUUGCUGCAGUAUUACCCGAGGGUGCUGUUUUUCCUCUCCGGACAGUCGCAGACGUGGAAGCACUGGAACAAAAACUGAUAGACCCUGUCUUCCUGAAAGAAGUGGUUGCUGUUGUGGCAGAGAUCGGAGGGAGCACUGUUGAUGAAGCCACCAGAAGAAUGAUGGCCUUCAUUAUGGACAAUGCUCUUUCCAGGCAAUAUAACUUCGUUGGGCGCCAUGGAAAGCGGGAAUUUCGAGGGCUUAAAAUUUUCGAAGUGCUAUAUGCAUACUUGAAGACAGCUCUCACUAAACCGUUUUUUGGUUCCUCACUGUGUUACGGUAUGUGAACAAUUUCCAGUUAUGUUUAGCAGUUUGUGCAAUAUUCUUCUUUGCACAAUCAGCUCCAGGAACUCCAGCGCCAGCCAGCCAGUCAAACAACUUGAUCAGCACAACUUUCAAAACAACUCCAGUAGUAUUGCAAAUCUGAUGUUAUUUGUGAAAAAAUGCACUUUUUUUUUUCAGGACCAAUGGAUCACUGAAUGAGUGAGAAGCUGUGUUUCAGUGCAUUUCUUUUUCGUUUAAACUGUAUAACAUUGAUUUGUUAUUGUUUUGUGUAUACUAGGGACCUUUUUUGUCAACAUGUUCUCUAAACAAAAAAAAUAUUUGUAUAGUAUAUAAAAAAUUACUGUUAUACUGCAUACUGUUUUAAAAUGUCAUAUUAAUCAGUAUUAAUAAAAAAGAUAAACUGACUUUGUUGUACAGGUGAUUUAAAUUUUAGCUUACUGUAGUAUCCAAAAUCCCAUCUGGGCAAGCACACUUGGGGCCACCAUGGAAAUGGAGGACAAAAAUAGCUGGGUCCCAGGUGGGUAACCCAGGUGGGCCCCAAAUAUCAGACCCGCUUCUAUGGAUAUGGGCCCCACAAGUUUUUUUGGUUGGAUCUGAUUUGGGGCCCAUCAUUAACCCAUCUGGGCAAACACAUUUGGGGCCACCAUGGAAACUGAGGACAAAAGUAGCUGGGUCCCAGGUGGGUAACCCAAGUGGGCCCCAACUAUCAGACCCACUUCUACCCAUCUGGGUCCCACACUUGUUUAUUGGCUGGGCCUGAUUUGGGGCCCAUCCAGGGCCCGUCAUUAGCCCAUCUGGGCAAACACACUUGGGGCCACCAUGGAAACUGAGGACAAAAUUAGCUGGACCCCAGUUGGGUUUCCCAAGUGGGCCCCAAAUAUUAGCCCUGAUGCUCCCUAUUUGGGCCCCACGUAUGUGUGUUG